Molecule: ribosomal RNA, 474 nt
Filed under: uncultured bacterium
Lineage: Bacteria
Description: bacterial SSU rRNA
Rfam family: Bacterial small subunit ribosomal RNA
Source: RNAcentral
ACUCCUACGGGAGGCAGCAGUAGGGAAUCUUCCACAAUGGACGAAAGUCUGAUGGAGCAACGCCGCGUGAACGAUGAAGGCCUUCGGGUCGUAAAGUUCUGUUGUAAGGGAAGAACAAGUGCCGCAGGCAAUGGCGGCACCUUGACGGUACCUUGCGAGAAAGCCACGGCUAACUACGUGCCAGCAGCCGCGGUAAUACGUAGGUGGCAAGCGUUGUCCGGAAUUAUUGGGCGUAAAGCGCGCGCAGGCGGCCUCUUAAGUCUGAUGUGAAAGCCCCCGGCUCAACCGGGGGAGGGCCAUUGGAAACUGGGAGGCUUGAGUAUAGGAGAGAAGAGUGGAAUUCCACGUGUAGCGGUGAAAUGCGUAGAGAUGUGGAGGAACACCAGUGGCGAAGGCGACUCUUUGGCCUAUAACUGACGCUGAGGCGCGAAAGCGUGGGGAGCAAACAGGAUUAGAUACCCUGGUAGGAUAGCG